Long non-coding RNA from Syngnathoides biaculeatus (alligator pipefish), 1156 nucleotides. RefSeq lists it as uncharacterized. Lineage: Eukaryota; Metazoa; Chordata; Actinopteri; Syngnathiformes; Syngnathidae. The record is from RefSeq and is a predicted model, not a curated record. The transcript is spliced from 3 exons.
UCCUUAGGUUGUGCUGUGGCGUUCAGGUAAGUAAAGGUCCGCAAAUGGCGUCUGGCCUUGAGCUGCUCUCCUUCGCCCUCUUAUGUGGAAAAACCGCCCUGAGAACGGAAGACAGUCGCCGAGGGAGGAAAAAACGUCGUCCGUCCUCGCAAACGGUUCUGCUGCGCAACGGGUGACUUCACCACGCCACGCCUUCGAGAAACCUCUUUAUUCUUCUCUGCGACACGCCCCCUUUGCGCACUUUGGGAUUCCAUAUUUGGGAGAAGGAAGGGGUCACGUGAGCGGGGCGUUCGGGACCGGGGACGGUGACGUAGUGCGAAACCUUUUUUGGUUUUUUUUUUUUUUUUUCCUUUCUUUGUCCAAAGAGCGAAGAAAUAACGAUGGAGACAAUCCGGGGAGGAGUCGGAAUCAAUUCGUCCUUUCAUCUCCUGCCAAGGGGCGAACGGGUCAGGACACAACCCGCAAAAGGUGCUGCCGGUUGCGGGAGGCCAAACAUGUUUGGUUGCAGGUUUGCUUCCAUGGCAACAAGGGGAGCUCGCGAGCACGGCACGGCACGGCUCGGCGACUUCUUUUGAGUGGACUCGCGCCGAUUCCUAAAAUCAUUCGGAGGGUUCCUCCUUCCGGGUCCCCCAAAACGGGUCAACGUCCCCAUCGAGGGCUUGAAUCUUCUGGAUCGAAUCCUGUCGGCUCUUCAAGGGAAGCGGAUUACUGACAGAAUUAUGUGCAACGAUUCACGCGACCUUUUUUUCGGUGUGGCAGUAAUAUGCUUCACAGUAAUACGCUUCCGUGGCUGUCGAAGGGAAGAAGACGUGCCAACAAUUUCGGACUUUUGCCCAGGUCGCGCGUGUCUUGCCCCGAGCUGUGCGCAGGCAGGAUCCCGCGUUUCCCGGACAUUUGACGAGCGGCACCACGUUCGUGGACGUCGGCGGGCCGCAGUCGCACGCAGCUGGCAACUGUCCAACACCGACUUCCUGUUCCAAGACUUCUUUGGUACUUGCUGCGAUGACGAAUAAUUGUACCCCACCCAACUGCCCUUUAUCUGUCCUCCCUCUCGCGCGUGGCCAGUGUACAGUGUAGCCACGCACGCCUACUUGCGAGUGAUUCACCACUCGUGGAUUCCCCUCUUCGUGGAUCUUUUUCCCCAUUAAAAACGUAA